Molecule: transfer RNA, 86 nt
Filed under: Allomeiothermus silvanus
Lineage: Bacteria; Thermotogati; Deinococcota; Deinococci; Thermales; Thermaceae
Also listed under: 4 other names
Description: Meiothermus silvanus tRNA-Leu
Rfam family: tRNA
About the family: Transfer RNA (tRNA) molecules are approximately 80 nucleotides in length. Their secondary structure includes four short double-helical elements and three loops (D, anti-codon, and T loops).
Source: RNAcentral
GCCGGGGUGGCGGAAUGGUAGACGCUACGGACUUAAAAUCCGUUGGGGGAAACCCCGUGUGGGUUCGAGUCCCAUCCCCGGCACCA